This is a ribosomal RNA of 435 nucleotides. It matches the Rfam family "Bacterial small subunit ribosomal RNA", at positions 341 to 792 of the family's 1533-position model.
ACGGGAGGCAGCAGUCGGGAAUAUUGCGCAAUGGAGGAAACUCUGACGCAGUGACGCCGCGUAUAGGAAGAAGGUUUUCGGAUUGUAAACUAUUGUCGUUAGGGAAGAGAAAGGACAGUACCUAAGGAGGAAGCUCCGGCUAACUACGUGCCAGCAGCCGCGGUAAUACGUAGGGAGCGAGCGUUAUCCGGAAUUAUUGGGUGUAAAGGGUGCGUAGACGGGAAAAUAAGUUAGUUGUGAAAUCCCUCGGCUCAACUGAGGAACUGCAACUAAAACUGUUUUUCUUGAGUGCAGGAGAGGUAAGUGGAAUUCCUAGUGUAGCGGUGAAAUGCGUAGAUAUUAGGAGGAACAUCAGUGGCGAAGGCGGCUUACUGGGCUCUAACUGACGCUGAGGCUCGAAAGCGUGGGGAGCAAACAGGAUUAGAUACCCUGGUA